Molecule: long non-coding RNA, 1973 nt
Organism: Tripterygium wilfordii
Lineage: Eukaryota; Viridiplantae; Streptophyta; Magnoliopsida; Celastrales; Celastraceae
Exons: 2
Source: RefSeq, a predicted model, not a curated record
UCUUAACUUGUAUAAAUCACUUUUCAAUAUAAUAUCCCAAGUUUGAAUUUUGUCAACAUUAUAGUUUAGCAAUGCUUGUUGUCUGCUAUGGGAAUUUUGCAGAGUUUUAUUGAUGGGGAGAAUUUGGCAAAGUUUGAACUGGUAAUUUUUGUGAAUUCUACAAAUAUGUUAUUGUUCUUUGUUUGCUUCAUGUGUUCUAAUAUCUUUGUUGAGAGUUGACACUUGAGUUAAUUUCUCGAGAGUGAGCAAUCCUGCUGCUUGUGACAGAUAGAAUUUGAAUCAUCCAAUUUUUUCAUUGAAAGUGAGCUGUAGUUCUGAAAGAGAAUCUCCAUUUUUGUCGGCGUGCCUCAAUUUAUUGCAUAAGCCUCAAAUUUAGCUGACAAUCAAAGAUUUUUAUAAAACGAUUUGAUGGUUCGUUGAUGGUCCACAAUCUGAAUAAAGUCACCGCUUGUCAUACAUUUCAGUGUUUGAAGAUAAAGAAAAUAAGGAAUUUUCAUUUGGUAUAGUUUUUACUAGUUUGCUUUCAUAAACAGUCAUUAUGUUUGGUAACUUGAAAUUGGAAAAUCUUGCAAACAUGAUAUUUCACAAUAGUCAAUCAAACAAACAGUUGAUAUUUUGUCAAUGCUCAGGAGUCGGGAACUGAGAAUUAUCAACCCUGGAUUAUUGUGUGAUGAACAACCCCAAUCAGUUAUCUUAUGAUGUGUAUAGUCAUGGCAUUUAGGCAACCAUUAGCUGUGAGAUUUUUUUUGGGUGGCAUUGGUGACAGGGCAGGGAGUUAGAGUUAUGUGAGACUGGAAUAGAUGAGCAUUAAUUGAUUAUGUGCUUGACUCUGCUUUAAGUUUCCUUUUCUCUUGAUGAUACAAGACAACCAAGAAACUUCGACUAGUUGCUAGUUGUCAAUUUCACUUUACUAGAGUACACUAUCAUGUCUUCUCAAGCCCUUGUUCUUUGUUUUAAGAUAAUUGAGGGGCUAUGUGAGAGUUUGUUUAGCGUGUGUACAAGUGUGCAUAUCAUGUGAUGAUAAAACAGAAAGCAGCACCCAAGGGGUGCCACCACCCAGGUACAAAGCAAAAACUGUGCCAUUGGUCUAUGGGAGGGUGAGUAUCAAAAGAUUUAAGAAGGAAUGAACAUCUAGGAGGCCGCUUCUACGGAAAAAAAUACAUGAAUUAUUAUGCCAGAAACACCAAAGCUGCUGCCAGCUGUUACAAAUGCUAUGAAAUUCUUGCGUCAACACUCCAAACUCUCUGUUGUUCCUCUUUUUUUGCACUAAUCCAUCAGAUUUCGAAGGGGAUACUCUCUCUGCUACUAUUAAAUUGUUUUACAGAUAGCUAAUCAAAUAUCUUGACUGUUCUGUAUAUGAUUUUUAUCUAUAGAAAAUACCUACUUUGAUAGAACACAACAUAGGCUGUCCCGAAUAGAAAUUCAAUAAAGGAGGAGAUAUGUAUAGAUAGCAAGUCAUAUCUGAACAUGCGCCCUUCUUUCUUCGUGGGUAGUUGCAGAAUAUGAAAUGGGAAGCCCGCUUCUUGACCAUUCUCCAAUUUGUGAUGAAUUAUUCAUCGGGAUAGCUUAUGAGUUGCGACUGAAUUGCAUAAGAAAUAUUAGAAGAUCGCGAAAAAGAGAAGUGCCACAUAUGGACUCUCCGGACACCUGAAGAAGCAUCCUCUCAUUGGAGAAGUUUAUAUGGGCAUCUAGAUGAUAUGGAAUGAUGAGUACAACCAACAUUUACUGUUUCCUUAAAAAUGCAGAUGGCUGUGCUUUACGCUGGUGUUUCUGAUAAAAGAGAGUAUUAAGAUAAAAGUCCAGGUUGAUCCCCACUGAUCGGUGUAUGGGAUAUGGACAUAGAGGGAGGGGUUUUAUUUUCUUUCUAAUUUCAAUGUACUUUUUUUCUCCGUUUCUUGAAUUCUUCCAAAUGUACUUCGCCUCAUGUUCUGUGCUUAUUAGAAAUGAAAACACUCGUAGACAAAUGGCAGAAA